Molecule: ribosomal RNA, 497 nt
Filed under: uncultured bacterium
Lineage: Bacteria
Description: partial 16S ribosomal RNA
Rfam family: Bacterial small subunit ribosomal RNA
Source: RNAcentral
GAUGAACGCUGGCGGCGUGCCUAAUACAUGCAAGUCGAGCGAACAGACGAGGAGCUUGCUCCUCUGACGUUAGCGGCGGACGGGUGAGUAACACGUGGAUAACCUACCUAUAAGACUGGGAUAACUUCGGGAAACCGGAGCUAAUACCGGAUAAUAUAUUGAACCGCAUGGUUCCAUAGUGAAAGACGGUUUUGCUGUCUCUUAUAGAUGGAUCCGCGCCGCAUUAGCUAGUUGGUAAGGUAACGGCUUACCAAGGCAACGAUGCGUAGCCGACCUGAGAGGGUGAUCGGCCACACUGGAACUGAGACACGGUCCAGACUCCUACGGGAGGCAGCAGUAGGGAAUCUUCCGCAAUGGGCGAAAGCCUGACGGAGCAACGCCGCGUGAGUGAUGAAGGUCUUCGGAUCGUAAAACUCUGUUAUUAGGGAAGAACAAAUGUGUAAGUAACUAUGCACGUCUUGACGGUACCUAAUCAGAAAGCCACGGCUAACUACGUG